This 481-nucleotide small RNA is filed under the name Pan troglodytes (chimpanzee). RNAcentral describes it as "processed transcript". Lineage: Eukaryota; Metazoa; Chordata; Mammalia; Primates; Hominidae. The record is from RNAcentral.
ACGCCCUGCCCAACAGAAGCCGCAGUCCCGUGGGGUCUGGAGACGCAGUUUCCUGUUAAUGACAAUAAAUCCCUGCUCCCCCUGCCUCAGACAUCUACGCAGCGAAAUCGAGCCUGGCCUUGAGGGUCCACACCGCGAGGGAAGAUGCGUGCGCCCAUUACACUGGGCCAUCUAUGUUGGCGAUGGAUAUGUAGUUCAUCUGGCCCCUCCAAGUGAGGUUGCAGGAGCUGGUGCAGCCAGUGUCAUGUCCGCCCUGACUGACAAGGCCAUCGUGAAGAAGGAAUUGCUCUAUGAUGUGGCCGGGAGUGACAAGUACCAGGUCAACAACAAACACGAUGACAAGUACUCGCCGCUGCCCUGCAGCAAAAUCAUCCAGCGGGCGGAGGAGCUGGUGGGGCAGGAGGUGCUCUACAAGCUGACCAGUGAGAACUGCGAGCACUUUGUGAAUGAGCUGCGCUAUGGAGUUGCCCGCAGUGACCAG